RNAcentral lists this ribosomal RNA (400 nucleotides) under uncultured bacterium. RNAcentral describes it as "bacterial SSU rRNA". It matches the Rfam family "Bacterial small subunit ribosomal RNA", at positions 358 to 774 of the family's 1533-position model. The record is from RNAcentral.
GGAAUUUUGCGCAAUGGUCGAAAGCCUGACGCAGCAACGCCGCGUGAUCGUAGAAGCCCUUCGGGGUGUAAAGAUCUGUCAGCAGUGACGAACAAUGACUGUACCUGCAGAGGAAGCACCGGCUAACUCCGUGCCAGCAGCCGCGGUAAUACGGGGGGUGCGAGCGUUGUCCGGAAUCAUUGGGCGUAAAGAGUUCGUAGGUGGUUUGUUAAGUUUGGUGUUAAAGGCGCAGGCUUAACCUGUGUAUGGCAUCGGAUACUGGCAGACUGGAAUGCGGUAGAGGUAAAGGGAAUUUCUGGUGUAGCGGUGAAAUGCUUAGAUAUCAGGAAGAACAUCGGUGGCGUAAGCGCUUUACUGGGCCGUAAUUGACACUGAGGAACGAAAGCCGGGGUAGCAAAUG